Molecule: ribosomal RNA, 266 nt
Filed under: Staphylococcus pasteuri
Lineage: Bacteria; Bacillati; Bacillota; Bacilli; Caryophanales; Staphylococcaceae
Description: partial 16S ribosomal RNA
Rfam family: Bacterial small subunit ribosomal RNA
Source: RNAcentral
ACAUCAUGCCCCUUAUGAUUUGGGCUACACACGUGCUACAAUGGACAAUACAAAGGGCAGCUAAACCGCGAGGUCAAGCAAAUCCCAUAAAGUUGUUCUCAGUUCGGAUUGUAGUCUGCAACUCGACUACAUGAAGCUGGAAUCGCUAGUAAUCGUAGAUCAGCAUGCUACGGUGAAUACGUUCCCGGGUCUUGUACACACCGCCCGUCACACCACGAGAGUUUGUAACACCCGAAGCCGGUGGAGUAACCAUUUAUGGAGCUAGC